Molecule: unclassified non-coding RNA, 222 nt
Filed under: Hevea brasiliensis (rubber tree)
Lineage: Eukaryota; Viridiplantae; Streptophyta; Magnoliopsida; Malpighiales; Euphorbiaceae
Source: RNAcentral
GUUUGGUGGUGAACACGAUGGGACAUUACUAACUAACAAUACAUUUGGAACAAUUUCCACUUGCUUCAUGUAACUGUGUAUGCAGAGUUUAGCUGCCUUAUUUGUUGGGAGGUGAUGAAUCUGCCAAUUACUACCCCAUGUGCCCAUAACUUCUGCAAAUCAUGCUUGGAAGGUGCUUUUGCGGGCAAGACAUUCUUGAGAGAGAGAAGCAGUGGUGGACGG